GCCAUCUAUAGUUUUGAAACUUUUGCAAUUUAAUGAAAUGGCUUUCAAAUAAUGCCUUUUGGUUGAAUCUAGUACAAAAUGUAUAAACUAUUACAACACUUGAUUUAAAAAAAAAAAGUCUUUCAACUUCACUAGUGAAUACACCACCCUUUUAUAUUGCCUCGAAAAGGCUACUGAGGUCUCUCUCCUUGCAUCAGAAAUCAUUUGUUAAAAUACAGGACUUCAAACAAAACUGGUAGUUAAUGCAACUUACAACAAUAUUUUAUUCUAAUGCAACUCUGUUCUAAAUGAGAUUUUUGAAAGGAUGACCCAGUAUGUGUGGAGGGGAGGGUAAACUCACAAUUUUCUAGGUGGAAUACUCGUGAAAUUUUAAUUUAUAGAAAAUUUCAUUUAGCAGGCAUGCUUAAACAAUUACAUUAGAAUAUGAAUAACUGCAAUUUAUAUAAAUACUAGAGUCAAUCAUAGAUUUUGCAGCUGCAAAUAUUUUUUCCCCUUCCAAAAAUGCAGAACUGAAAAAAUUUAUUUACAACUAUAAAAUCAAAGAUUGAAAUUGCCAUGUUUAGAAAUAGAACACAAUAUUUCCUUCCGUCUAAUUGAUACAAAAAGCACUCAAAAACUUUUUAACUAUAAUUUCAACUGUAA
Molecule: long non-coding RNA, 642 nt
Filed under: Mytilus galloprovincialis (Mediterranean mussel)
Lineage: Eukaryota; Metazoa; Mollusca; Bivalvia; Mytilida; Mytilidae
Source: RNAcentral